RNAcentral lists this ribosomal RNA (384 nucleotides) under bacterium enrichment culture DGGE band A3. Its description in RNAcentral is "bacterial SSU rRNA". It matches the Rfam family "Bacterial small subunit ribosomal RNA", at positions 958 to 1342 of the family's 1533-position model. The record is from RNAcentral.
AACGCGAAGAACCUUACCUGGUCUUGACAUCCACAGAAGUUUCCAGAGAUGGGAAUGUGCCUUCGGGAACCGUGAGACAGGUGCUGCAUGGCUGUCGUCAGCUCGUGUUGUGAAAUGUUGGGUUAAGUCCCGCAACGAGCGCAACCCUUAUCCUUUGUUGCCAGCGGUCCGGCCGGGAACUCAAAGGAGACUGCCAGUGAUAAACUGGAGGAAGGUGGGGAUGACGUCAAGUCAUCAUGGCCCUUACGACCAGGGCUACACACGUGCUACAAUGGCGCAUACAAAGAGAAGCGACCUCGCGAGAGCAAGCGGACCUCAUAAAGUGCGUCGUAGUCCGGAUUGGAGUCUGCAACUCGACUCCAUGAAGUCGGAAUCGCUAGUAAU